UACGAAGGGUGCAAGCGUUGCUCGGAAUUAUUGGGCGUAAAGCGCACGUAGGCGGCUUGGCAAGUCCGAUGUGAAAGCCCUCGGCUCAACCAAGGAAGUGCAUCCGAAACUGCUGAGCUUGAGUACUUAAGAGGAUCGCGGAAUUCCCGGUGUAGAGGUGAAAUUCGUAGAUAUCGGGAGGAACACCAGUGGCGAAGGCGGCGAUCUGGGAAGAUACUGACGCUGAGGUGCGAAAGCGUGGGGAGCAAACAGG
This 253-nucleotide ribosomal RNA is filed under the name uncultured bacterium. RNAcentral describes it as "partial 16S ribosomal RNA". It matches the Rfam family "Bacterial small subunit ribosomal RNA", at positions 524 to 776 of the family's 1533-position model. The record is from RNAcentral.